CAAAGUUACAAAAUACAUAAAAAAUGGCAGCAGAAAUCUUGGCUAUGAUGUAAAAAUAUAUUAUUUUGUCAUAUUUUCAGAAAAAUAGGGAAAAUAUACAUAUUUCAUAUUACUGGUUCAAUUUUAACAAUUUUUAUAUCAGAUUGGUUUUGUCAUUGCAGUAUAUAAUGCUGGCUGAAAUCACCCAUACUUUUAGAGUUUCUUCUGAUGUCAUCUCUUUCUGAACAACUUGGAAAUGAGACAGACUAGUAAACAUACACAUAUUGCCACCAAAUAUCCAUAUAACAUUUUAUAUCUUUCUGGUGUCCAUAAAACUGUGUAGGACAAUUCACCAUUCUUUC
RNAcentral lists this long non-coding RNA (341 nucleotides) under Mytilus galloprovincialis (Mediterranean mussel). The record is from RNAcentral. Lineage: Eukaryota; Metazoa; Mollusca; Bivalvia; Mytilida; Mytilidae.